CGGACGGGUGAGUAAUGUCUGGGAAACUGCCUGAUGGAGGGGGGUAACUACUGGAAACGGUAGCUAAUACCGCAUAACGUCGCAAGACCAAAAGAAGGGGGGACCGUUCGGGCCUCUUGCCAUCGGAUGUGCCCAGAUGGGAUUAGCUAGUAGGUGGGGUAACGGCUCACCUAGGCGACGAUCCCUAGCUGGUCUGAGAGGAUGACCAGCCACACUGGAACUGAGACACGGUCCAG
RNAcentral lists this ribosomal RNA (236 nucleotides) under uncultured bacterium. RNAcentral's name for it is "partial 16S ribosomal RNA". It matches the Rfam family "Bacterial small subunit ribosomal RNA", at positions 99 to 334 of the family's 1533-position model. The record is from RNAcentral.